Molecule: long non-coding RNA, 526 nt
Organism: Protopterus annectens (West African lungfish)
Lineage: Eukaryota; Metazoa; Chordata; Ceratodontiformes; Protopteridae
Exons: 3
Source: RefSeq, a predicted model, not a curated record
AAAGCAAGUAUGCCCAUGACGACCUGUACGUAUUCAGGAAGAAGAGAUAGGCCUUGGAGUAUUGGGUGGUGACAGAUGGUGGUGCCAUGAAGGGUCUUUCAACAGUUGGAUGGUUAUGCAAUGCGGUCACAAAUGGUUCGGCGCAGAGGUCAUAUCAGCUGAUAGUGUGAAGGAUGUGGUUUUACCAGGUGAUGGAUGCUGCUAUAAUGGAGCUUUAGCCACAAAAAAGAAUAAUUCUAUCAAAAACGGCCCAACCCAUUUCAGAAGAGGAGCUCGUACCUUUGGACUUCUGCUGGCCUCAUCACUUAGAGAUUUUGUCAUUUGAGAAUGUCUGUUGAAUGACAACAAGUUGGCAAUAAGACUCAUGAGAGGUAAACAACAAUGGAGCUCAGUAUUUGGGUUUAACUUUAAAAUGUUUAGAAAUGAAUAAAAAGUAUUUUUGAAAACAUUGUAGAAAUGAAUACUUUUCUAAAGACUUGACAAAAGUGUACAUACAGGUGUGAGAAAUAUUAGAGAAGUAUUUAAA